GACGAACGCUGGCGGCGUGCUUAACACAUGCAAGUCGAACGGAAAGGCCCUGCUUGCAGGGUACUCGAGUGGCGAACGGGUGAGUAACACGUGGGUGAUCUGCCCUGCACUUCGGGAUAAGCCUGGGAAACUGGGUCUAAUACCGGAUAGGAGCCAUUUUUAGUGUGAUGGUUGGAAAGUUUUUUCGGUGUUGGAUGAGCUCGCGGCCUAUCAGCUUGUUGGUGGGGUAAUGGCCUACCAAGGCGGCGACGGGUAGCCGGCCUGAGAGGGUGGACGGCCACAGUGGGACUGAGAUACGGCCCAGACGCCGACGGGAGGCAGCAGUGGGGAAGAUUGCACAAUGGGCGCAAGCCGGAUGCAGCGACGCCGCGGGGGGGAUGACGGCCUUCGGGUUGUAAACUCCUUUCGCUAGGGACGAAGCUUUUUGUGACGGUACCUAGAGAAGAAGCACCGGCUAACUACGUG
This 465-nucleotide ribosomal RNA is filed under the name uncultured bacterium. RNAcentral describes it as "partial 16S ribosomal RNA". It matches the Rfam family "Bacterial small subunit ribosomal RNA", at positions 28 to 507 of the family's 1533-position model. The record is from RNAcentral.